RNAcentral lists this transfer RNA (76 nucleotides) under Candidatus Kaiserbacteria bacterium CG10_big_fil_rev_8_21_14_0_10_59_10. RNAcentral describes it as "tRNA-Thr". It matches the Rfam family "tRNA". From Rfam's summary of the family: Transfer RNA (tRNA) molecules are approximately 80 nucleotides in length. Their secondary structure includes four short double-helical elements and three loops (D, anti-codon, and T loops). The record is from RNAcentral. Lineage: Bacteria; Candidatus Kaiseribacteriota.
GCCAGCGUAGCUCAGUCGGUAGAGCAGCGCACUCGUAACGCGCAGGUCGCCGGUUCGAUCCCGGCCGCUGGCUCCG